This 331-nucleotide ribosomal RNA is filed under the name uncultured eukaryote. RNAcentral describes it as "partial 18S ribosomal RNA". It matches the Rfam family "Eukaryotic small subunit ribosomal RNA", at positions 1470 to 1796 of the family's 1831-position model. The record is from RNAcentral.
CCCUUAGAUGUUCUGGGCCGCACGCGCGCUACACUGUUCGACGCAGCGAGUCUUAACCUUGACCGAAAGGUUUGGGUAAUCUUCAGCAAAGUCGAACGUGAUGGGGAUCGAUCAUUGCAAUUAUUGAUCGUGAACGAGGAAUUCCUAGUAAGUGCAAGUCAUCAGCUUGCGCUGAUUACGUCCCUGCCCGUUGUACACACCGCCCGUCGCUACUACCGAUUGAAUGGUUUAGUGAGAUCUCUGGAUUGACGCUGGCUAGGGGGCGACCCUUGGCCAGACUGUUGAGAAACUGCUCAAACUUGAUCAUUUAGAGGAAGUAAAAGUCGUAACA